Molecule: RNA transcript, 2448 nt
Organism: Melopsittacus undulatus (budgerigar)
Lineage: Eukaryota; Metazoa; Chordata; Aves; Psittaciformes; Psittaculidae
Gene: SLC44A3
Gene name: solute carrier family 44 member 3
Exons: 16
Source: RefSeq, a predicted model, not a curated record
GGCCGUGCCACCGCCCGGCGCUGGGCUCUGCGCUAACGAGCGUGGCCCCGCUGCGCCCCAGGCCCGCCCGCAGCCCCGCGGCCCUGCCCUGCGGGCAGGAGCAUGGAGCGGCGCGGAGGUCCGCAGCAGGAUGCUGGAGAUGGCGUUUCUGAACUGAGGGAGUGGAGACCAGUGGUUUACAGAAAGCGUACGGACACUCUGUGGUUGCUCCUCUUCUUUCUUUACUGGGCUGGUUUGAUGUUUAUAACUGGUUAUGCUGUGAUGGCUGGUGCUGCAGAAAGACUUGUGCUUGGAUAUGACAGUUUUGGGAACAUAUGUGGUAGGAAGAACACUCCUGUAAAAGGGGCACCCCUUUCUGGACGGGACAUGACUAAUAAAAAGUAUGUGUUCUUUCUGAAUUCAUGCAGCCUGGAAAUGCAAAACCUCAAAAUCAGUUCACUUUCCUUGUGCGUGUCCAGUUGUCCACAAGAGCAACUCAACUCUUUGGAAGACCUCCAGAGUUUUGCAAGGAAUAAUGGUUCUUGUCUUUGCAUUUACAACGUGAACAUUUCCAGUUACACACUAAAUCCAAAGGCAGCUGAGCUGUGUCCCACACUGCCAGUUCCACCAAGUAAAUCUUUUCCAUUAUUUAAUCGCUGUGUUCCACAAAAUCCGGAAUGCUAUUCCAAAUAUGCAUCUGUCUUAAUAAGCAUGGUUAAUGAAAUGGAUGUUUGUCACCGAAUUCUGAGUGGAAUCUUCGCAGGAAGAGAUACUGUGAUAGGACUGAGUGUCUUUGCACUAGCCUUCUCUUUAAUCCUAGUUUUAGCCUUCAGAUUCAUUCGGACAGUUCUGAUUCAUACUUUGAUUGCACUGGUCAUAUUUGGGAUGUUCUUUGUCUCAGGUGUUCUCUGGUGGCUCUAUUAUGACUACAGGAAUGAUCCCAGCACUGAACUGGAAACAGAAAAGGCAAAUGUAAAGUUUCUACUUGGAUAUGCUAUCUUCUCAACAAUAGUUACUGUUGUUUUGCUUUCUCUUAUACUUGUACUAAGAAAGAGGCUUCAGUUCACUGUGCAACUCUUUCGAAUUGUUGGUAAAAUCAUUGGCAGAAUUCCUUUCCUGCUGUUCCAACCAUUCUGGACCUUUCUGAUUCUCGUUGUGUUCUGGGUAUUUUGGGUUGCUGUACUACUCAGCCUAGGAACUGCAGGUACUGCACAGACUACUUCAGGAGGACAAGUGGAAUACAGAGCUCUGCCUGGAAUUUACUACAUGGCAUGGUAUCUUUUCAUUGGCCUGAUCUGGACUAGUGAAUUCAUUCUUGCUUGUCAGCAAAUGACGAUUGCUGGGGCAGUGGUUACUUGUUACUUAAACAGGAACAAGAAUAACCCACCACCUCACCCAGUCCUGUCUUCCAUAUCAGUUCUUUUCUGCUAUCACCUAGGAACUGCUGUAAAAGGCUCAUUUCUUAUCACAAUACUGAGAAUACCAAGGAUUCUUCUCUUGUACCUUUAUAGUAUCCUAAAACAAAAGGAGAGUGUGUGUGCCAAGUGCCUGUUCAAGUGCUGUUUCUUCUGCUUUUGGUGUCAGGAAAGUUGCUUAAGAUACUUUAACCAGCAUGCAUACACAACUACAGCUAUAAAUGGGACCAAUUUUUGUAUAUCAGCAAAGGAUGCCGUCUCUGUUUUGGCAAAGAAUUCUACUAAACUUGCAUCCAUUAGCUGUUUUGGAGAUUUUAUCCUAUUUCUAGGAAAGGUGUUUGUUGUAUGUUUUACUGUUUUCGGAGGAUUGAUGGCAUUUAACUACCAUCGGGAGUUGCAAGCAUGGGUGGUUCCUCUGUUGCUGGUUGGAUUUUUUGCCUGCCUGAUCUCUCACAGCUUUCUGUCUGUGUUUGAAGUGACAGCAGAUGCCAUCUUCCUUUGCUUUGCUAUUGACAUGGAAACAAAUGAUGGAUCUGCAGAGAGGCCAUACUUUGUGGAUCAGGAACUGCUGGUAAACCGCUGUGAUAACAGGAAAAACAUUUAAGCCAUUCUAAGCUUUUGGGGACUUUUUCUUUCCCCACAACCUAGUAGUUUGAACCCACAACCCAUGCUAUUUCCUUUCCAACACCUUAGAACAGGAUGGACACAGGGAUACAGAUCACAAGUGAAUUUACAAAGUGAAGUAAAUAGCUUCCUCUGACUCCUGUGUGCUAGCUCUGAUCUGCUGCCUUCUCUCAGAUCAUACCCUACCUUUGUGAGUCGGAGUAACAAGUUAACAGAUAAGCAAAAACACAGAAGACCUUUCCAGGAUAAUGAAGAUGGGACAGAGCUCCAACCUAUGACUUGAAUGUGAAGAGCACCCCAAGAAGUACAGCAGCAGAGCAGCAACAGCAAAAACAAUCAGAGCAAAAAAGAUUCCCAAUAGCCCAGGACAACAUAUUAGUUCUCUAAAUCUCUGUUGUACCUUCUUUACUGGUAAAGUGACACACAGUCU